GACGAACGCUGGCGGCGUGCUUAACACAUGCAAGUCGAACGGAAAGGCCCUGCUUGCAGGGUACUCGAGUGGCGAACGGGUGAGUAACACGUGGGUGAUCUGCCCUGCACUUCGGGAUAAGCUUGGGAAACUGGGUCUAAUACCGGAUAGGAACCAUCUUUAGUGUGGUGGUUGGAAAGUUUUUUCGGUGUAGGAUGAGCUCGCGGCCUAUCAGCUUGGUGGUGGGGUAAUGGCCUACCAAGGCGGCGACGGGUAGCCGGCCUGAGAGGGUGGACGGCCACAAUGGGGAUGGGAAACGGCCCAGACUCCUACGGGAGGCAGCAGUGGGGAAAAUUGCACAAUGGGCGCAAGCCUGAUGCAGCGACGCCGCGUGGGGGAUGAAGGCCUUCGGGUUGUAAACUCCUUUCGCUAGGGACGAAGCUUUUUGUGACGGUACCUAGAUAAGAAGCACCGGCUAACUACGUG
This 465-nucleotide ribosomal RNA is filed under the name uncultured bacterium. RNAcentral's name for it is "partial 16S ribosomal RNA". It matches the Rfam family "Bacterial small subunit ribosomal RNA", at positions 28 to 507 of the family's 1533-position model. The record is from RNAcentral.